Picea glauca (white spruce) is the source of this 121-nucleotide non-coding RNA. Lineage: Eukaryota; Viridiplantae; Streptophyta; Pinopsida; Pinales; Pinaceae. The record is from Rfam.
ACAUGCCUACAACAUAGUGUUAAUGCAUUAGAUCCCAUUAGAACUUUGCAAUUAAGCACACUCAUGCUAGAGUAGUACUGGGAUGGGUGACCGCUCGUGAAGUACUAGUAUUUUACAUGCC